UCUGUGUCACUGCGAAUUGUGGGAAAUGCAUGGAGACUCCUACUCCUAGUGUAGUUCGGACGCCACUUUCCGCAGUAUCUGGCAGGCACAAUACAUUGUGUACCAGUAGAAUCGGAACACCAUAUCGCACAUCAAAUGUUCGACGAUUUGGAUCACUUGGCACUUCCUGGCGGACACCAGUCAGUCAUCAUGCCUACAGUAGUUCCCUGCAUGCAUCCAAUAAAUCCAGCACCCCACGGCAACCUAGGGACUCGGUAUCUAUGGUGACCACCAGGAAUGAGAUAGAAGAAAACAACAUCAAACAAUUGAUUGGCAAGCAGUGGCAUGCCUUCCGACUCACCAUUUAUACAACUUCAAGACUACUUCAUAAACAUAUGUGUUGUCCUAUUAAAUUAAAGUUCUUGCUAACUUAAACAGCAUGAACAUUCACGAUAAUGUCCUGUCAAAUCAAACAAAUUUCAUGUUUGCUUCAGUUGCAACAUAUAAUUAUAAAUUACAACGUUUUAAUGAAUAAUGUUUCUUACGAAAUGUUCCAAAACUAGGAUACUUGCAUAUUUUCAAAGUCCAAAUCAAAUUGACAUCCGCUAUUGUUUUUGACAACAAUGAUUUAUUUUGUACGCUGGAAGAUAACAAAUUUAAACAAUUAACUCAAUAACAAACACGUAACAGCGACACGUGUUCUCGAAUAUCUUAUUCUCUUCAUACAUAUUUCAGAUGUUUACUUUUAAUAUACUUCAAGAGUGUUUAUUAAUUUGCUUACACUUGAAUUCGCAGUACGCCCACUUUUGACACUAUGAUAAAGGUACGAGCCUCAAAAACCUGAUCGGUUUUAAGCUAUUAAUUACUGUUUGUUAAUUAACAACAAUAAUGUAAAACUAGGGAUUCCGGUUAUUUUCUUGCUAUGCAUAUGUUGGGAAAUAAACCUGUACCGGAACAGUAGUCCGGUUUGGAUAAGAGUUCAGUAUUGGAAGGAGACGUUUAAGAUGGUUUCCACCGUAUUUGUCAUGUUAUAGAUUUUAAAUCUUUAUGUUUUCUUCAUCUUAAAACUUACAUGUCACAUUUACAUUGCUUGACAUAUUAUAUUAAGAUUAGAUUAAUUUGUAUGAAUCUUUGGUUUGUAAAUACUUGAAGUUUAAUAAUGCAAUAACUUUCACAAUUUGUUUAUUCAUUUAUCUAAUAGUCGUACUUAUUAAAUAGUUUUACCUGGCUUAGGAUACAUUUGGAGCCAUCUGGAGUUAGCACGAUUUCAUAUCCCUUAAAUAAAACGAACUAAUAUGUAAUUACUUAGUCCAUUGAUUACUGUUAAUUGAAAUAUACAAGAGCACGAAUGCACAACAAAAUAGAAUAAAACUCUGUUUGAUAUAUAGCCUUAUUCAAUAUACAAUAGACAUACAGUCCAUGAGAACACAUGUUCAAAAACAUAGUACAUUUGUAACAUACAAAUGCAUGCAAUGUGAUCAAUAUCAAAUUUCAUAAGUUGUUAAAUAAAGUAUAAAUUCAUGGAAAGGUCUUGGACAAUUUGAUUUAAACAAUAAGAACUCUUUACAAUGUUAAGAAAAGUGUUGCAACCUCCUCAAAGACAUCAAUGGUUGCCAGAUUUUCUCCAUCAGCAGCUGUGACUAUUAACACCUCUUCGGUCCCCAGUU
This is a long non-coding RNA of Dreissena polymorpha, 1646 nucleotides long. RefSeq lists it as uncharacterized. NCBI's taxonomy places the organism in Eukaryota, Metazoa, Mollusca, Bivalvia, Myida, Dreissenidae. The record is from RefSeq and is a predicted model, not a curated record. The transcript has 4 exons.